Molecule: long non-coding RNA, 284 nt
Organism: Pseudophryne corroboree (corroboree frog)
Lineage: Eukaryota; Metazoa; Chordata; Amphibia; Anura; Myobatrachidae
Exons: 4
Source: RefSeq, a predicted model, not a curated record
UCUGGUUUGUGCAGUGUUCCACAUGAUUCUCUAUGGAUUUGAUGUGGGAGAACGCUUAACCCAGGGGCUGCCCUAUGUGUAUCCUCUUGGACCUAUAGUGGCUGAAUGUCCUUUUUGAGAUCCUGCAGCUGUUGACCCUGAGUGGGAGAAUGCCUUAUCCAGGUGUAGUCUUGUGCACACCUUUCCAGACCCAUAGCAGUGGUUUGGUUGCAGAGCUGUGAUUAUAUGGACAUUCUCCACACUUGGUAUACAGCAGUUCAGACAUGCAGCCCCAUUGGAAUGUG